This is a long non-coding RNA of Scylla paramamosain (green mud crab), 1464 nucleotides long. RefSeq lists it as uncharacterized. The record is from RefSeq and is a predicted model, not a curated record. The transcript has 5 exons. Lineage: Eukaryota; Metazoa; Arthropoda; Malacostraca; Decapoda; Portunidae.
GAGGCUUGAGGUAAAACUAGGAGAGAAGGAAGGUUUCUCUCCACUUCUCCAGUCUCUCCUCCACCACCAGUGUGUUCUCUCCAGUCUCUCAACGGCUUCUCUCCACAAUCAUGGCUCGUCUUAAGAUACAUGUCAUUUAUUGUGGUGCCUGAGGUUACGGGCCAAAGUACCGCCAACUGAAGGAACAUUUAGAGGCGGACUUUCCUGAUAAACUUGAAUUUAGCUAUGAGGCCACCCCUAAUUCCACUGGCUUCCUUGAGGUCAUAGUGGAUGGCAAGCUGGUCCACUCCAAAAAGAAUGGCGAUGGAUACGUGGAUACAGAAAAAAAAUACAACAAAAUAUCUGAUGCUGUUAGCGAUGCCUUGGACGCCGCAGACAGCCAGUGACCUUGAACCUGCUGUGACCUCACCCUGACCUCCUCUCUCUCUUCUCUGGUUCGCCCCGCCCUGCCCCGCUGCCCCGGAGAUGAAGCUGCUGCCCCAAAGCCCCUAGAGGACCGGUAGUGGUGGAAGGAGCCGGGGGGAGAGGGAGGUGGCGGGGCGGGGCAUGGGGAGAACGGGGGAGCGGCCAGUGGGGGGGUAUGGGGGUGUUCAAGGACAGCAGCGUGGGGGGGGGAGCGGGGGAGGGUAAGGAUUUAUUUAUUUAUUUAUUUAUUUAUUUGUUUGUUUGUUUUAUUUAUUUAUUUUUUUUAUAUUAUGAUUUUUUUUUUUGUUGUGGGUUGGGAAUCUCUCUCUCUCUCUCUCUCUCUCUCUCUCUCUCUCUCUCUCUCUCUCUCUCUCUUGCUCUCUGUCAUCUUAAUCAUUCUCUCUCUUCUUCCUUCUUCUUCCUGUCCUUAAUUAACUUCCUCCUCUUCCUUCCUUCCUUCCUUCUACAUUCUUCCUAACAUUAACAUAUUCCUCAUCUCUUCUCCUCCUCUUCCUCUUCCUUAUCAUCAUAUAAAAAAAAAAAAAACUCAGGAGAACUUUAAUGUAACUCUUUCUUCAGCAGUGACUCAGCAUAUCUCUUAGCCAAUACGGGGUUAACAGGACUCAGUAGGAUCAGCAUUCAUUAUAUUCAUUGUAGUUGUCUGAGUCUUGCUUCAUAUUGUCAUUGUUAUCGUUUGUGUUCGAGAAUAAUAGAUCGUUUCUUGACUCUUCGUUUUCUUUGUCCGUUUGUUAUCGUAUUUUUGUAGUUUAUUUAUUCAUGUUUAUUUUGUUUCUUGUGUUUAUUUGUGUGAAUUUUCUGUCUGUAUUAUUAUUAUUAUUAUUAUUAUUAUUAUUGUUAAUGUUUUGUUCUCACUCCCAAUGUACUAUUUUGAAAAAACCUGUAUUGUCGUACCAGAAAAACAAACAAACAAACAAAAACAAACGAUAUUAUCACUAGCUUUAUCAUUACCUAUUAUUAUCAUUAUUUAUUAUUAUUAUAGCACUGGUACAAACUAUAAAAAAAAACACCACUAGUUAUUUAAUAAAGAGUCGAAUCAGA